Molecule: transfer RNA, 92 nt
Filed under: Glycine max (soybean)
Lineage: Eukaryota; Viridiplantae; Streptophyta; Magnoliopsida; Fabales; Fabaceae
Description: tRNA-Ile
Source: RNAcentral
CUCAUUAACUCAAUUGGUUAGAGUGUUGUGUUAAUAACCUGAAAGUCACAGGUUCGAUUAUGAUCCAUAUGAGAUGAUCCGUAUGAGACCCA